This 186-nucleotide small RNA is filed under the name Segatella bryantii. Its description in RNAcentral is "Prevotella bryantii Bacteroidales-1 RNA". It matches the Rfam family "Bacteroidales-1 6S-Bacteroidales RNA suggested". Lineage: Bacteria; Pseudomonadati; Bacteroidota; Bacteroidia; Bacteroidales; Prevotellaceae. The record is from RNAcentral. RNAcentral also lists the same sequence under 1 other name.
GGUCGUGUCGAUUCGAUUGGGAUACUCAUCAAAUAAUAUGUGAAACCGAGAAGACAUCCUUUGCCAAUGGCGGGCCACAUAAACCGCAUUUGCGACUAAGCUGUAAAGCCAGUGGAUUACAAAGACGGGGAGCUCUCAAAUCUUUUUAAGAUUGGAGUUUCAUCACAUCAUCGAACGACCCUUUUA